RNAcentral lists this ribosomal RNA (476 nucleotides) under uncultured Desulfobulbus sp. RNAcentral describes it as "bacterial SSU rRNA". It matches the Rfam family "Bacterial small subunit ribosomal RNA", at positions 910 to 1382 of the family's 1533-position model. Lineage: Bacteria; Pseudomonadati; Thermodesulfobacteriota; Desulfobulbia; Desulfobulbales; Desulfobulbaceae. The record is from RNAcentral.
UUGACGGGGCCGCACAAGCGGUGGAGUAUGUGGUUUAAUUCGAUGCAACGCGAAGAACCUUACCUGGUCUUGACAUCCCGGAGACCCUUAGGAAACUAGGGGGUGCUUCCAUCUGGAAGAAUCUGGAGACAGGUGCUGCAUGGCUGUCGUCAGCUCGUGUCGUGAGAUGUUGGGUUAAGUCCCGCAACGAGCGCAACCCUUGCCUUUAGUUGCCAGCAGUUCGGCUGGGCACUCUAAAGGGACUGCCGGUGUUAAACCGGAGGAAGGUGGGGAUGACGUCAAGUCCUCAUGGCCUUUAUGACCAGGGCUACACACGUACUACAAUGGCCGAUACAAAGGGCAGCGACACUGCGAGGUGAAGCCAAUCCCGUAAAAUCGGUCUCAGUCCGGAUUGGAGUCUGCAACUCGACUCCAUGAAGUUGGAAUCGCUAGUAAUCGUGGAUCAGCAUGCCACGGUGAAUACGUUCCCGGGCCUU